This is a non-coding RNA of Rhypophila decipiens, 106 nucleotides long. NCBI's taxonomy places the organism in Eukaryota, Fungi, Ascomycota, Sordariomycetes, Sordariales, Naviculisporaceae. The record is from the annotation of a GenBank genome assembly.
GCCCGGCUGGCGCAAUCGGUAGCGCGCAAGACUUCUACCUUCCUGCUCACCCAGUCAGAAGGAAGUCAUAAUCUUGAGGCUGUGGGUUCGAGUCCCACGUCGGGUG